GCGGGCGUAGUUCAAUUGGUAGAACAUUUCCUUGCCAAGGAAAAGGUCACGAGUUCGAGCCUCGUCGCCCGCU
This 73-nucleotide transfer RNA is filed under the name Pelolinea sp. RNAcentral's name for it is "tRNA-Gly". It matches the Rfam family "tRNA". Rfam says of the family: Transfer RNA (tRNA) molecules are approximately 80 nucleotides in length. Their secondary structure includes four short double-helical elements and three loops (D, anti-codon, and T loops). The record is from RNAcentral. Lineage: Bacteria; Bacillati; Chloroflexota; Anaerolineae; Anaerolineales; Anaerolineaceae.